Molecule: ribosomal RNA, 253 nt
Filed under: uncultured bacterium
Lineage: Bacteria
Description: partial 16S ribosomal RNA
Rfam family: Bacterial small subunit ribosomal RNA
Source: RNAcentral
UACGUAGGGUGCAAGCGUUAAUCGGAAUUACUGGGCGUAAAGCGUGCGCAGGCGGUUUUGUAAGUCAGAUGUGAAAUCCCCGGGCUCAACCUGGGAACUGCAUUUGAAACUGCAAGGCUAGAGUGUGUCAGAGGGGGGUAGAAUUCCACGUGUAGCAGUGAAAUGCGUAGAGAUGUGGAGGAAUACCGAUGGCGAAGGCAGCCCCCUGGGAUAACACUGACGCUCAUGCACGAAAGCGUGGGGAGCAAACAGG